UACGUAGGGUGCAGGCGUUAAUCGGAAUUACUGGGCGUAAAGCGUGCGCAGGCGGUUUGCUAAGACAGGUGUGAAAUCCCCGGGCUUAACCUGGGAACUGCGCUUGUAACUGGCAAGCUAGAGUGUGGCAGAGGGGGGUGGAAUUCCACGUGUAGCAGUGAAAUGCGUAGAUAUGCGGAGGAACACCAAUGGCGAAGGCAAUCCCCUGGGCCUGUACUGACGCUCAUGCACGAAAGCGUGGGGAGCAAACAGG
This 253-nucleotide ribosomal RNA is filed under the name uncultured bacterium. RNAcentral's name for it is "partial 16S ribosomal RNA". It matches the Rfam family "Bacterial small subunit ribosomal RNA", at positions 524 to 776 of the family's 1533-position model. The record is from RNAcentral.